Long non-coding RNA from Passer domesticus (house sparrow), 2379 nucleotides. RefSeq lists it as uncharacterized. The transcript has 3 exons. Lineage: Eukaryota; Metazoa; Chordata; Aves; Passeriformes; Passeridae. The record is from RefSeq and is a predicted model, not a curated record.
CCGUUCCACCACAAGGAAUAUUCCAUUCUAUGAACUGCAGUUGCUGUCAGUUUGGUCUUUAUGAGUUCAUAGAGCACUGGUUACCCCUUGAUGUAUCUAUAUUUACAAAUGAAAAAAGGUAGCAAAAUCCCCAUAAUUCUUUGGGGUAUAACAUUUAAGGAUGUUUUAAACAGUGUGGCUGAUGGGGCUCGUACUAGAAACAUCAAACAGAACCACAGCUGGUGGUGAUGCAGGAGGCAGAAUCAGUGUUCGGGAGACCAUAGGGUAUAACAUGGACUUUUUUUUUUUGACAAAUCUUUAAUGAUCUGGUGGAUAAUAUGAUGACACUGAAAAGAAUCUAAGAAAGUGACUGCUUUUGAUUGAUGGAUUUGUGAUAAUUUGAUUUUAGGACAAGGGAUAAUGAUUUUAAACUAAGAGAGGGUCAAUUUAUAUUAGAUAUAAGAAAGAAGUUUUUUACAAUGAGGGUGGUGAAACAUUGAAACAGUUGUGAGGUGGUAGAUGCUCCACCCCUGGAAACUUUCAAGGUCAGUUUGGAUGAGGACAAUAUACUGGAAGAUGUCCAUUCUCUCUGCAGGAGGCGGGGACUGGGUGACCUUUGAAGUUCCCUUCCAACCCGAGUAAUUUUUUGAUUCUGUGAUUCUAUGAUUGAAAACACAAGGAAGGAAAGGCACAUUAAGCUAGCAGAAAACUGGAAAAAAAGUAACUUUGAAUCAUUGGUCAACCAAAAAACAUUUUCUGGAUAAGUAAGACAGCAACUCUGUCUUGAAUUUAAGACUUAAGAGAAACUGAUGAGUAAAUCCAAGAAAUAUCAAAUCUAUUCUUACUAAGGAGCAGUAGAAGCAGGGAAUGUUGGUUGUACUGGACUGAUUCAAGUUCCUUGGAAUCAAUAGGACUACACAUGGAAAGCUAACACUUCACAGAGAACAUUUCUGGCUUCACAAGAGGGGAGGCAAGAAAUCUGUAGUACUGCUGAUGACAACGUUCAGUGACGCAACCGUAAUAGAGACAGAUAUGGCCAUAGGAGGCCUCAAGAAAGAUCUUUUCUGCAAGGAUAAAGAAGCGUUAAUAUUCAUAUUCAAAGCCAUUGAUUCCAUACAUGACUUAUGAUAUCCUGGUCAAGGUUCCUUUGAACCUGUAGCAGGCACACAAAAGUGCUAUUAAGUAAAGGGUGAAUCAACAGCCCAUUGUACAGGAAGCAACUGAAGGUGCUGGACAUGCUGUACUUGGCAAAAUGAAAGGUGAAAGACAAUAUGGCUAUUGUCCACAAACACAUCAACAAGGAUACAGCAAGGUCAGAAGGAAAAAAAACUAUUAAAAUUAUUAACUAUGGAAGCAUAAGAAAAAAAGGAUUCAAAAUAGCCAGGAGAAACUUAGCCUGAAAAUGAGUAGACUUAGAAGAGGGAAAUUCCUGAUUCUUUUCAGAAUCAAAGAUUGAAAACAUGUAAUUGCUAUGAAAUGAGCUAAAUAGGAAAGGACAAAUACCGAUGAAUGCAUAUCCACAGUGACAAGUUUCCCUGCUCUGUACUCCCAAGACACCUUGCAUAAACAGACUUUGAUAAAAGGAGAAUAUAGACCCUGUAAGGGCUUUGAAGUUCAUUUCAGCAAAUUAAUCUGAACCACAUUAAUGUUUUGUGAACUCAUACAACAUACUUUAAUUAAAACAAUAGUGUAAUCUUUGAGAGAAAGCAUGUCAAACUUUCCUUCCCAGUAUGUUGCCUUCAAAACAAGAAGGUAUAAAAGGCUUUUUGGAGGUAUUUUACCUGCAAAGUUUACGGUGAACCUGGUCUCCAACUCGUCGUGUCAGCAAUUUAACACACUCCUGUUUCUGAUUGAUAAUUCUCUGGAGAAAGAAAAAAUGUGAACCUUUAGCGACACACACGCAGGAACCUCAUGCUAGCUUGGUGACUAAUGCUUCAUUUUCCCAGCUCAAUUUGCAGCUGCUCAGCUCCUCCACCAAGUGAAGGAACAGCUAGAAUUGAGCAGCUGGGUGAGGAAGAAAGGUCCUGUUCAUGGUUACUGAAAAAGGAAAUACUUCUUCCCUUUAUCUCCAACCCUUGACCAUGCAACUACCAAAGUUGAUGAAGUCUCUACAUACCCUUCAGUCCUUUGUUCAUGUGCAAUUUGUUUUGUUUUCUGCUUCAUUUAAUCUCAAUGUCUGAUUUACUCCUGGAUCAUUUCCACUGGAAAUGCUGAGGCCAACAAAGACGAUCUACAUGAAGCAUGACAGAGAAAAAGCUCCCACAACAAAGUACCUGUACACUUUAUGAGGUUUGGCUGUUGGAAACUUUGCUCUUUCCUUUGAAUUCUCAGGUACAAAACACCUCAAUAUGUGUAGAGUUCUGAUAAGCAGCAUUUUAACUCUGUUGUUGUUCAUCAUGA